This 402-nucleotide ribosomal RNA is filed under the name uncultured bacterium. RNAcentral's name for it is "bacterial SSU rRNA". It matches the Rfam family "Bacterial small subunit ribosomal RNA", at positions 355 to 775 of the family's 1533-position model. The record is from RNAcentral.
UGAGGAAUAUUGCGCAAUGGGGGAAAUCCUGACGCAGCCAUGCCGUGUGAGUGAAGAAGGCCUUAGGGUUGUAAAGCUCUUUCAGUCGUGAAGAUAAUGACGGUAGCGACAGAAGAAGCCCCGGCUAAAUUCGUGCUAGCAGCCGCGGUAAUACGAAGGGGGCAAGCGUUGUUCGGAAUCAUUGGGCUUAAAGCGUGCGCAGGCGGAUAUGAAAGUCAGGAGUGAAAUCCCAGGGCUCAACCUUGGAAUUGCUUUUGAAACUCCAUAUCUAGAAUCCGGUAGAGGUCAGUGGAAUUCCGAGUGUAGAGGUGAAAUUCGCAGAUAUUCGGAGAAUACCAGUGGCGAAGGCGACUGACUGGACCGGUAUUGACGCUCAGGCACGAAAGCGUGGGGAGCAAACAG